This 59-nucleotide ribozyme is filed under the name unclassified sequences. Its description in RNAcentral is "pistol ribozyme". It matches the Rfam family "Pistol ribozyme". The record is from RNAcentral.
ACUCGUCCCAGCGAGUAUAAAUAGGACAUUAGGCUGGAGCGGUACAUUUGUGCGUUGUC